CCAAAUCAGUUUUAAAGAAAAUAGUUUCCAGACAGGUUCAGUUUCGCAAGGACAAUAAUAAACAAAUCACAAGGCCAGACAAUACCAAAGGUCGAUAUAUACCUACCUGAACCGGUUUUCUCAGAUAAUCAACUAUAUGUCGCGCUUUCUAGAUCGACCGCGACAUGAAACAUAAUGGUACUAAUAGGUACACAUAAUAAGAACUACGAGAAGAAUAAGAAGAUCAAUACAAGCAACACAAACACAAAAAAGAAAAAGAAGAAGAAUAACAACACAAGCGAGACAUACACAAAAAGUAUUGUCUACACAUAAGUCCUCACCAAAUAG
RNAcentral lists this ribosomal RNA (327 nucleotides) under Triticum aestivum (bread wheat). RNAcentral's name for it is "partial small subunit ribosomal RNA". Lineage: Eukaryota; Viridiplantae; Streptophyta; Magnoliopsida; Poales; Poaceae. The record is from RNAcentral.